Cyprinus carpio (common carp) is the source of this 396-nucleotide long non-coding RNA. The record is from Ensembl. NCBI's taxonomy places the organism in Eukaryota, Metazoa, Chordata, Actinopteri, Cypriniformes, Cyprinidae.
UUAAACUUCAGAUAUCUUCUGUCUGGUUAUGAGUGAUCAUGCAGAAGUUUUGUGUUCGGUGACGACAGAAAUGCUCGUCACUGUAAACAAGCAUCAAGGCUAAUUUUUACUCCCAUUACUCCUACAGUGAUGGCGAGUGGUAAUUUUGGCCCCUGCAUCUUUCUGAAGAUCAUAAUCCGCUUCCCUUCAGACGUGAAAGAGCUUCCUGAAGCAGCACCUGCAAACUUCCUGUGCUGCAGACGCACCGAGCGGAGCUGAAGCUGAUGAAUGGCUCUGUAUCGUGCGUCCGUGGGGUUUGCUGUCAGCCAGACACAAGCUGCACCGUUUCCUGAGAAAGGCCUGCAUUUGUCCACAAAUUCCCAGCAAAGCAUGCAUGAAUUUAAAUCUGGUAACGUU